This 73-nucleotide transfer RNA is filed under the name Ixodes scapularis (black-legged tick). It matches the Rfam family "tRNA". From Rfam's summary of the family: Transfer RNA (tRNA) molecules are approximately 80 nucleotides in length. Their secondary structure includes four short double-helical elements and three loops (D, anti-codon, and T loops). Lineage: Eukaryota; Metazoa; Arthropoda; Arachnida; Ixodida; Ixodidae. The record is from Rfam by way of RNAcentral.
CCCUGGUUAGCUCAGUUGGUAGAGCGCUCCAUAUGUAAUGGAGAGGUCCCGGGUUCGAUACCCGGACCAGGCG